UUGCAUCUAUUGACAGACCUAAAGCACAUCACCGUGGCUUUCUAGGUUCUUUUCCAGUUAGAUGCAAGAUUAAAUUCCUCGCGCUUUCUGUUUGACUAAUUAGUAGCAAUGCAGAUUGAAUAGAGGAAUACACAA
Small nucleolar RNA from Carcharodon carcharias (great white shark), 135 nucleotides. RefSeq annotates it as small nucleolar RNA SNORA31. The transcript has a single exon. NCBI's taxonomy places the organism in Eukaryota, Metazoa, Chordata, Chondrichthyes, Lamniformes, Lamnidae. The record is from RefSeq and is a predicted model, not a curated record.